UUUGUACUCCGUCCGCCCUAAAUUUUUUGUCUUAGAUUCGUCUAGAUACAGAUGUAUUUAAUACUAAAACGUGACUUGAUACAUCCGUAUUUAGAUAAAUUUAAGACAAGAAUUUUGAGACGAAGGGAGUACUCU
This is a non-coding RNA of Triticum aestivum (bread wheat), 135 nucleotides long. NCBI's taxonomy places the organism in Eukaryota, Viridiplantae, Streptophyta, Magnoliopsida, Poales, Poaceae. The record is from Rfam.